This 484-nucleotide ribosomal RNA is filed under the name uncultured bacterium. Its description in RNAcentral is "partial 16S ribosomal RNA". It matches the Rfam family "Bacterial small subunit ribosomal RNA", at positions 30 to 507 of the family's 1533-position model. The record is from RNAcentral.
AUUGAACGCUGGCGGCAGGCCUAACACAUGCAAGUCGAGCGGAUGAAGGGAGCUUGCUCCUGGAUUCAGCGGCGGACGGGUGAGUAAUGCCUAGGAAUCUGCCUGGUAGUGGGGGAUAACGUCCGGAAACGGGCGCUAAUACCGCAUACGUCCUGAGGGAGAAAGUGGGGGAUCUUCGGACCUCACGCUAUCAGAUGAGCCUAGGUCGGAUUAGCUAGUUGGUGGGGUAAAGGCCUACCAAGGCGACGAUCCGUAACUGGUCUGAGAGGAUGAUCAGUCACACUGGAACUGGGACACGGUCCAGACUCCUACGGGAGGCAGCAGUGGGGAAUAUUGGACAAUGGGCGAAAGCCUGAUCCAGCCAUGCCGCGUGUGUGAAGAAGGUCUUCGGAUUGUAAAGCACUUUAAGUUGGGAGGAAGGGCAGUAAGUUAAUACCUUGCUGUUUUGACGUUACCAACAGAAUAAGCACCGGCUAACUUCGCG